RNAcentral lists this ribosomal RNA (426 nucleotides) under uncultured bacterium. RNAcentral describes it as "partial 16S ribosomal RNA". It matches the Rfam family "Bacterial small subunit ribosomal RNA", at positions 354 to 796 of the family's 1533-position model. The record is from RNAcentral.
GUGGGGAAUCUUGCGCAAUGGGCGAAAGCCUGACGCAGCCAUGCCGCGUGAAUGAUGAAGGUCUUAGGAUUGUAAAAUUCUUUCACCGGGGACGAUAAUGACGGUACCCGGAGAAGAAGCCCCGGCUAACUUCGUGCCAGCAGCCGCGGUAAUACGAAGGGGGCUAGCGUUGCUCGGAAUUACUGGGCGUAAAGGGCGCGUAGGCGGACAGUUUAGUCAGAGGUGAAAGCCCAGGGCUCAACCUUGGAAUUGCCUUUGAUACUGGCUGUCUUGAGUACGGGAGAGGUGAGUGGAACUCCGAGUGUAGAGGUGAAAUUCGUAGAUAUUCGGAAGAACACCAGUGGCGAAGGCGACUCACUGGCCCGUUACUGACGCUGAGGCGCGAAAGCGUGGGGAGCAAACAGGAUUAGAAACCCUGGGUAGUCC